This 429-nucleotide ribosomal RNA is filed under the name uncultured bacterium. Its description in RNAcentral is "bacterial SSU rRNA". It matches the Rfam family "Bacterial small subunit ribosomal RNA", at positions 355 to 776 of the family's 1533-position model. The record is from RNAcentral.
UAGGGAAUCUUCCACAAUGGACGAAAGUCUGAUGGAGCAACGCCGCGUGAGUGAUGAAGGUUUUCGGAUCGUAAAACUCUGUUGUAAGGGAAGAACAAGUACGAGAGGUAAUGCUCGUACCUUGACGGUACCUUGCGAGAAAGCCACGGCUAACUACGUGCCAGCAGCCGCGGUAAUACGUAGGUGGCAAGCGUUGUCCGGAAUUAUUGGGCGUAAAGCGCGCGCAGGCGGCCUUUUAAGUCUGAUGUGAAAGCCCCCGGCUCAACCGGGGAGGGUCAUUGGAAACUGGAAGGCUUGAGUACAGAAGAGAAGAGUGGAAUUCCAUGUGUAGCGGUGAAAUGCGUAGAGAUGUGGAGGAACACCAGUGGCGAAGGCGACUCUUUGGUCUGUAACUGACGCUGAGGCGCGAAAGCGUGGGGAGCAAACAGG